This 331-nucleotide unclassified non-coding RNA is filed under the name soil metagenome. Its description in RNAcentral is "partial contains 5.8S ribosomal RNA, internal transcribed spacer 2, and large subunit ribosomal RNA". The stretch from base 1 to 119 matches the Rfam family "5.8S ribosomal RNA", at positions 35 to 154 of the family's 154-position model. The record is from RNAcentral.
GAUGAAGAACGUAGCGAAAUGCGAUAAGUAGUGUGAAUUGCAGAAUUCAGUGAAUCAUCGAAUCUUUGAACGCACAUUGCGCCUUUGGUAUUCCUUAGGGCAUGCCUGUUCGAGCGUCAUUUAAACCUUCAAGCUCAGCUUGGUGUUGGGUGACUGUCCGCUUCACCGCGGACUCGCCUCAAAAUUAUUGGCGGCCGGUACAUUGGCUUCGAGCGCAGCAGAAACGCGAACUCGGGCCCGUCGUAUUGGCUCCCAGAAGCUAUCUUCACAAUUUUGACCUCGGAUCAGGUAGGGAUACCCGCUGAACUUAAGCAUAUCAAUAAGCGGAGGA